RNAcentral lists this transfer RNA (91 nucleotides) under Escovopsis weberi. It matches the Rfam family "tRNA". From Rfam's summary of the family: Transfer RNA (tRNA) molecules are approximately 80 nucleotides in length. Their secondary structure includes four short double-helical elements and three loops (D, anti-codon, and T loops). Lineage: Eukaryota; Fungi; Ascomycota; Sordariomycetes; Hypocreales; Hypocreaceae. The record is from Rfam by way of RNAcentral.
UCCGAUAUGGUGUAGUGGCUAACAUCGCUCGCUCUCAACCUUCAACAGUUGGUAAUCCGAGCAGCCCGGGGUUCGAUUCCCCGUAUCGGAG